Molecule: unclassified non-coding RNA, 135 nt
Filed under: uncultured Mortierellaceae
Lineage: Eukaryota; Fungi; Mortierellomycota; Mortierellomycetes; Mortierellales; Mortierellaceae
Description: sequence contains ITS1
Source: RNAcentral
UAAUAAAAGUGGUUUUAUGGCACUUUUAAAAUAAAUCCAUAUCCACCUUGUGUGCAAUGUUUUUUUUUUUAUAUCAACUCAUUAUUUUAUAACUUAUUAUCUGAAAUAUAUUAUGAAUAACUUAAUUCAAAAAUA